CCUACGGGUGGCAGCAGUGAGGAAUAUUGGUCAAUGGUCGGGAGCCUGAACCAGCCAAGUAGCGUGAGGGAUGACUGCCCAGCGGAUUGUAAACUUCUUUUAUAAGGGAAUAAAGAGAGGCACGUGUGCCUGUUUGCGUGUACCUUAAGAAAAAGCAUCGGCUAACUCCGUGCCAGCAGCCGCGGUAAUACGGAGGAUGCGAGCGUUAUCCGGAUUUAUUGGGUUUAAAGGGAGCGCAGAGGGUUUGUUAAGUCAGUGGUAAAAUUGUGGGGCUCAACCUCAAAUUGCCGUUGAUACUGGGGGUCUUGAGUACAGUAGAGGUAUGCGGAAUGCGUGGUGUAGCGGUGAAAUGCUUAGAUAUCACGCAGAACUCCGAUUGCGAAGGCAGCAUACU
This 394-nucleotide ribosomal RNA is filed under the name uncultured bacterium. Its description in RNAcentral is "partial 16S ribosomal RNA". It matches the Rfam family "Bacterial small subunit ribosomal RNA", at positions 338 to 730 of the family's 1533-position model. The record is from RNAcentral.